AUGCCAUGCCUCAUUAAACCGGACAUGCAUCAUACUUGUUUGCGCAUCAUGCCAUGUUUAUGUGAUGUUUGUUUACUAUGUUGUUUGUUUCUUUCUGGGUUGCUUCUCUCGUUAGCUUCGGUUUCGUUCUGGAGUUGUGAGGAUUCGUUCGUCUUCGUCCGUUUGUCUUCUUCAUGGACUCUUUCUUCUUCCUUGCGGGAUCUCAGGCAAGAUGAUCAUACCCUCGAAAUCACUACUAUCUUUGCUAUGCUAGUUUGCUCGCUCUUUUGCUAUGCCAAUGCUAUGAUGCCUACCAUUUGCUUGUCAGCCUCCCAAAUUGCCAUGUCAAACCUCUAA
Molecule: ribosomal RNA, 336 nt
Filed under: Triticum aestivum (bread wheat)
Lineage: Eukaryota; Viridiplantae; Streptophyta; Magnoliopsida; Poales; Poaceae
Description: partial small subunit ribosomal RNA
Source: RNAcentral